GAGAGAGAGAGAGAAACCUCACUCGCUCACUUGUACAGAAAACGGGUGGGUUAAGAUUCGUUUUAGUACCGUGCCAGUAUUUCCUUACCUACCUUAUGAAACAUCACUAGCUCUUCAUAAAUCUUUUCUACAAACAUUCAACAAGCAUGGAAACACUUUCAAAAUCCAAUUCAAGGACUUUUUUUUUCUUGUUGAAAAUAGGGGAUAAUAUUCACGAAAUCGCAGCCUUGAGGAUCCUCUGGCGGCGGCCACUGCGGCGGUGCAGCUGGAUUUUCAUUUGGACACCACCAUGUCAGUGAGACACAGUACAGAACGGUAUAGACUCAGGGUCAACCUGGAACUGGGUUUCAGAGCAUUUGAGAAGAGUGCCCCGCGGCUCUAUAAUGAGUUACCCGGGACGUUAAGAACAGUGACAGUCUGGCAAUCUUCAAGAAAGCGCUGAAGACUCACUUAUUCACUAAAUCCUACGACUUAACAAAUAUGAGGAUUGAGGACAACUUUAGGUGCUAAUAUUACUGUUAUAAUGUUAGCGGCCCUGUGGAGCGCUGCCACGGCGGAGGACCGGGGCCCGAAACCUCAUCAACGGUAAGAGGUACAUGUACUAUACAACGUGACGCUUGAUUGUAUAAACGUCAUGUUGGUCUUCAUCAACUCCACUGUGGCUGCUCCUUGGCGCGUGUUUGAAGGCGUGGUGAGCUGGGAAGAGGAGAGGGAAGGAAGGGAAGAAAAAUAAGAAAGGAGGAGAGAAAGGAUAGGAAAAGAAAUUAGAGAGUAAAUAUGUUAACUAACGGACAUUAUAUUAUGAAGGAGAGGAGGAGGGCGCCACUCUACAGCAGUCAACGGAACACGUGCAGACCAAGACCAAGACAGGAUGUAAACACGUCUGUCGCUACAAAGCUCCCGACUACUACUGCUACUACUACUACCCUGCUGAAGUGCUUAAGAAGUGACGUAAUACUGGAAAGGAAAGUGUGAGUAAGUGAAUAAGGGGAAGGAGAGGAGGACUUAGGAAGCGAUACAAAGCGUUACAGGUCAAAAGAAGAAGAAGAAGAAGGCUCACCGCUGGGAAGGAACAGUGACUGGGCGUGUUGGCAACCACUGCUGUGAAGGGAAGGAACAGUGACUGGGCGUGUUCAGGGGUCAGUACGAGGUGGGUGGCUCAUGUCCAUUUCAUGUAUCCAUGUAUCCCGACACGCGGGCGCGGCUUCGCCCACUUGUCCCGCCCAGACAGCCCUUGGGUACGCUCGCCCUUGCAGUGUGUUCUCUCCUUGGUGACCUUUUUCAUGGUGUGUGUUCCCUGGCGUGGUUCUGCCCCUCAAUUCUUGGUUUGCAGUUUACCUUUCUGGUAUUAUUCUAGUGUUUGCCCAUACUCACCCCUCGCAACCAAAAUUGGCUAGGGGGCCAUUGAGACUUCGAGGAAUGCGGUGGUAAACAUGAAAUGUGUCACAAAUGCAAAGUUUUUGAGUCAUGUGGGGUUGAAAAAUACCCUAGAUGUAGGGGAAUUCCUUAGUUACUUGGAUGUAGGGAAAUUUCAUAUAUUCCUUUUUUUUUUUACACCGUACGGAAACCGUGCAAUUUCACUCACUCUCCAUACCAAAGGGGGGUUCAAGGGGGGCGAAGCCCCCUGUUUGAAUAUAAAGGUCAUAAUGAAGCAUCUAAACGAUAAGUGAUUUACGUCAUAGAAAUCUUGCAACCGACUUAUACAAUUACGUAUUCACUUACUGGUAGCACGUACCAACGCGUGAAGCAGGUUUGGUAUCACGUACCAACGCGUGAAGCAGGUUUGGUAUCACGUACCAAUGCGUGAAGCAGGUUUGGUAUCACGUACCAAUGCGUGAAGCAGGUUUGGUAUCACGUACCAACGCGUGAAGCAGGUUUGGUAUCACGUACCAAUGCGUGAAGCAGGUUUGGUAUCAGGUACCAACGCGUGAAGCAGGUUUGGUAUCACGUACCAAUGCGUGAAGCAGGUUUGGUAUCACGUACCAACGCGUGAAGCAGGUUUGGUAUCACGUACCAAUGCGUGAAGCAGGUUUGGUAUCACGUACCAACGCGUGAAGCAGGUUUGGUAUCAGGUACCAACGCGUGAAGCAGGUUUGGUAUCAGGUACCAACGCGUGAAGCAGGUUUGGUAUCAGGUACCAACGCAUGAAGCAGGUUUGGUAUCAGGUACCAACGCGUGAAGCAGGUUUGGUAUCAGGUACCAACGCAUGAAGCAGGUUUGGUAUCACGUACCAACGCGUGAAGCAGGUUCGAACACAGGUUACUUGUGUUCAAUGUUCCUCAGUUACCUGUUAGGUCAUAAAGUUCGGUUGGGGUACUUGGGGGGGGGGGGGUCCAGGGGGUGUCAAAGGGGGCAAAGCGCCCCCGUUAGUAGGUCAUAAAGUUCGGUUGGAGUAGUUUAAGUAUGCUCCCCCACCCAAAUACUCCGACUCCCCGUGGGUACCCCAAGAUCAUUGGGGAAGGGGAUUAAUUUGGCUUCUUUACUUCUAAGUACUUCCGCCUUCAUAUUAUGGUUGAGGGACAUGUAUUUUGUUUUUUUAAUUAUGAUAUAUGGAGGCGUAUUAUUGUAUUCUGGAGGCACGGAGUCAGUAUCCACGAUCACCGUGUAUACUGGGAAUACGAACCCGUGAAGCAGAUUCAAAAUGCGGUCAGUAAGGAUUCACGUGUUCGAACAGCUCGGGCAGGAGGUUCGAGAGCCUUCACUUGCUCUAGAACCCGCAGUACUGUUUAAGGCGCGGCGUUGGACGGAUCAUGGCUAGCCGGUGGUUUUGCUUGUGUCAGUGAUAAACAAUGAAGAUACACUGUGUUUGGUGCCACGGACUCUACUUGGAGGACAGAAACCUUGCGAUGAGGUGACAACCUACUAGAGAGAGAGGGCAUGAGUGUGGUGUAGGCAGUUUAUGUGAGCGCACACAGCGCAUAUGGCCUCCGGCGCCACGCCAGAUGGUGAGGUGAGCAUCGUUUGGUGGGUUCACUAUACUUCUCUCCCAAAACAAGCUUGGGGAUCCAGUGAGUGCGUGGUUUCCGUAUGGAAAAACUAAAUUAGUCGCAAACACUCAUUUUAGUGGUGGUGGGAGGAAAAAUCCCUAAAUGUAGGGAAUUUCCCAAGAUCUAGGGAGUUUUUAUCCCCCCCACUAAAAAAAAUAUGCGCUUGUGACGGAUUUCGUGUCCCCCACCCAAAACCCCGUGUUCCCACCAGGUCCCCAGGCUUGUAUGGGGGGAGGGGGGAGUAUGGGCAAACACUAGAAUUUUACCCCCUUUCCUUUACAAGGUGUCCUUCAGCUGCCUGCUGCCUCCAAGGUGUUGAGGGCAGGUACUUCAUUACUCUGGGUCUGUUUUGGCUCAGUUUAUUUGGUGCAGUUUUGUGGCUGACAGCAGUAGGUA
Molecule: long non-coding RNA, 3383 nt
Organism: Eriocheir sinensis (Chinese mitten crab)
Lineage: Eukaryota; Metazoa; Arthropoda; Malacostraca; Decapoda; Varunidae
Exons: 4
Source: RefSeq, a predicted model, not a curated record